GGGUCAAAUUUUCUGUGCUUGUACAGUAGGUCUUUUGAUAUUUUACCAAUGCCAGUAUGCACUAUCAAAGGUUUUAUCAUCAGUCGCCAAAGAGAUAACUACAAGCUUUGAAUUCCAAUAGAGAGUAUAAUUGGAUGUCCUGCACCUCAAGAAAAUAACAGGGGAAUGGAUGACAGUGCAUGUUACACCUCUGUGCUGCCAUAAGGAAGUUUGGCACUGAAACUCAGCUGGAAUCUAGAUGGAAAAGGUGAAAACAUCCAAGACAAGAGAAUUUUGUCCUUGUGGAUUAGGAGACAUUUCAGUGCCCUCUCAGACCUCUGUGCCACCAGUCUGAGGCCGUGCUAUUGUGUCCAUUUGCUCAUUGUGUCCAGGAGGUGCAGCUGGGUUGCGCUGGAAACAUGGGAUGUGACUCAAAUGGAGCUUUUCUUCUCUCUUUUCUCCCCUCAAAUAUUAGUAGCCUAGUCCUGAUCUUGGCCAUUCACCUCUCACCCUUACUCCCCUAAUUUUAAUUACAGAGAUUUUGUGAUCCUUCUGUUUCUUUCCUUUUUGUUGAUUGGUUGCAGUCCCCAGUCCUAAAAAUCCAAUGCCCAUUUUUCUCAAAGGAGUAAUGGUUCUCUUCUCCUCAGCCCCUCUAGUGAGGCACAGCUGAUGAAAUUUGUGUUGCUGCAGUCUGGAUUUCACCCGACUAUGAGCCUGCAUCUUUCCACCUUUUCCAUCUUGUCCACUCUGCUUUGCCUCAGAGGUUCCACAAGUUUGAGAACCUGGAGUUAGCACAGUCACUUUUCCUCCUUCCCACAUUAGUGGCAUGACAGCUUGUCAUCAGAGAAGUAUUUAUAGUGUUGUGAACUGCUUCACAGCCUCAGGUAGGGGACAGGAAAACCGAGAGCUGAGGACAGACCAGUGCUGGGCAUCCACCACCCACUGAGGUCUCAGUUCAUCCAAGGCAAGGGUCAAGCCAUGCCAGAGCUACAGGGCAGCUCAAUGGUGUGACAGCCAAUGUUGCAAUUGUAGAAGGUUGACUUUUUUCCAAAAUGAAACAAAAUCGAGUCUUCUAAAAUGGCGAUAAUCCUCCUUACAUUACCAGGCUGAUACUCGAGGGAUCAGUUGUCUGCAGGUGUGUGGUGUAACCUCAGACUGGUUGCACGCCAGACCCAGCCUCUCUUCCAGUUCUUAUAAUUCUUAAUUCUGGCAGCACAGAAGUUAAUAGUUUAAGAAAAUUUUGCUUUUUUAAUAAUUAAGUCUGUAGAAGGUAGAAAUCAACAGUACAGUGCAUUUUCCCAGCAGAGACUGUAAAUUAAUUAGGAGCAAUUUGCUGUCAGAAACAAUUUCCAUAAUUUUAAGCAAAAAAGCAGAAAACCCGUUUUUAUCCUGAAGUGAUUUAACUCCUGUGAUGAUGAAUUAUGUGAAAUUGCAAUUUACCUGCUUCUGGCUCCUGGUACCCAGAAUGAAGCAGGUGAGAAUCAGGUUGUGGUUUCUACUGCUGGGGCAGAAUUUCUGAGAGUGAUGCUCUCUCUCCCCACCAUUCAGAUCUUGACCUUUUCAUAACAGAAUUGUCUUUGACACUUGCAAAUUCCUGUCAGGAGAUAAUGAACAAAUUGCAGUGCUAAUCGAACACAGGCCUUUUGUAGGCUUUUGCCUGAUAGUCACGCACCAAAGGUCACAGUCUAACUAAUGAGGGCUUUGGGUGAUACCUACACAAUAUGUGGGCCUUUCUGAAAGGCCAAAAUUUAUGGGUGCCACUUGGGGACAAUUCAGCUAUCACAAGCAUCUUAGAAGUACAGGAAAGGAUGAUCCAUCCAUCACUAAAACCCCAUUAUUGGACUUAAACACUCAGCCUAAUAUGCAUAAUUGCCAGACCUUGGGCUCCUCAAAAAGGCCCCAGUGUCAUUAUGAUAGAUCCUCCUUCGUGUUUACCAGGAAGAAUGAACAUGAGAUGGUCCAUUGUGGCAUUUAGAAUUUCAGGCCAUCAGGAUUUUAGGGUGAUUUGCAGAUAUAAAGUCACUGGGAUGCUGAUUUAAAUGAAGGGAACAUUUGCAGAAUCAUAAAUUUGUCCUGUGAAGUCUAUUAUGUGGAUACAUUUCUGCAGCUGAUAAGCAUUAAAAAAUUUACUGCUUCACACUUGCAUUUUCUCAUCCCCCCCCGCCCUUUUCUUUUUUUGGUGGCCUUUUCAGGUGUGAAUACAUUUACUAGUCCUUCCAUUUUUGCUGUUGUACAAUUAAAGCAGUCUGACCUCUAGCUGCCAAAGAUUUCACCAGAAUACAUCAUGGAAACUCUGCCUUCCAGAGCAAUGGAAUCUGCUCUAUCAUUAGUCCUUGCUUUAAAGUGACAUGUGCAUUUGAUUACAACUGCUGCAAAAUAUAUGGGAAUUGAAAAGGCCCUGGAAGAUAAAUUAGGGUACUAUCCUCAAAAUCUGCAAGUUACCUGCAGAAUUUUAAGCCAGCUUAGAGCAUGUUAACACAGCAAUGCUGUGUUAAAAUCAGCCCUUUCCCUGGGGUGCUGGUGCCAGAUCUCAGCCUGAGCAAUGGCAUUUGGGCUGGUCUCCUGCGUUCCCAUUGCACACAGCUUGCCUGGUGCUAUUCCCUGUCACACAGAGGUCUGGGGCAUUGCCAUCUGCAGCUCCACGGCUGCUGCGCUUCGGCGCUGGCUGAAGCCAUCCCCGCUUCAUGGAGUUGAUCUCUGUUUGGCUCGCACGCCGGGAUUCUGUGGGAUGGAAGGUGCUACAGAAAUGGAUGCUAUAUAAAUAUUUUUGAGUUCUAGAAAUACAGGCUACAGAAAAAGCUCAGCUCAGAGCUGACAGCGUAAUCAGAAUCUGCAUUUCACACCCCAGCGACGGCGCCUUGUGUGACACAGUCUGCUUAGCACUCCCCAGCACCACUGUACCCUUCCAGAUCUUCCAGGGAACCAUGAGAUGUGAGGUUUGUUAGUCUGCAUAUUCCUGUUCUUUCAUAUGUACUAAAAAAUAGCUUUUCUUUUUUUUUUCCCAUUGAAUGAUUACCUUGAAAUUUUUUACCUACUGAUUCAAACUCCCACCAGAUGAGCAUUUCUGUUUCCACAACUGCAAUUCUUGCUAAAUGUCUGGGUAGCUCAUAGAACUGCUGAAAGGCACUGAAGACACCCUCUCCUGGUCAUCCACUGAAUGCAGUAAUUUAUUUUUAAAUGAGCUUGCAAGUCCUAUUUGUGUUAUGUGUGUGCUUAUUUAAGGAUACGUUUGGAAAUUAGUGCUCAUUUGAAGUUAAAGUCCAAGCCAGUGACGUGAGACAUCUCUUUCAAAUUAUCUCAGCAUGUGCAUCAGAUGCCAGGUCCAGGUAAGUUGUGCUGGAUAUGAUAAGUUUGGACACAUUGGUCCAUGCAGUGAGAAACAUCAUGUGUAACAGGCUUUGCACAUUGCCACCAAGAUCAAAAGCUGAAUGACUCCAGGGUCUGUCUGUACUUAAAGCUUUGUUUUGGGUUGGGAUUUUUUGUCAUCCAGUCUGUCAGUGAGUUUUUGUUCUGAAUUGCUUUGCAAUCACCCCUCCAAGUAAAUCCUGCAGCCACUGCUCAUCCUACUCACAGUGACAGCACCUGAAAGACCAGAUGUGAGAUGUGUUGAAUGCAGGCAUGACUCAGUUCCAGCAGGAGGCAUGAGAAAAAAAUCAGAGAUAUUUUUGCACUUUGCUUCACAUCUUCUACUUUGUGGAACAUUGCACUUUUGAGGGAAAUUGCCUGCUAUGAACUAUAGAGCCCAUUUCAAAACAUACAGACAGCUCCUUUACAUAAAAUAUCCAGCAUAAACCCUCAGAAAUCCCCUUGUGUGUAUAACUUGAGUCAAAGAGAAUCAAAUGCUAUUUUGACAAGGUAUGCACUGGCCAGGGUGUGGUCUUGUUUCAAAAUAAAUAUAAAAAAUCAACACAAAAUCAGGAGGAAUCUGUGCAUCUGUCACACAGAGCAUAGGUUCACUAGGUAUUACAAAACCUCUCAGAGAAUAUAUACACUAUUUAAAAAUAAAUGUACAAAGUGUUGGGCAUCGAUGAUUAUAGUUUGGACCACUUGGGCAUUGUUUAGAUAUCUCUCUAUGUCUUGAAAACAUUAAGCUGGUCUGACUCCUUAUGGCAUUCUUUGCUAUUGAAAGUCAUGAUAAAAAGUUUAACAGGAAAAUCUGUGUCUUCUGCAUCCACCCUCCCCUUCCAGGUGUUCCUUUCAGUCUUCCAGUGUAUGUGCCAGAGCCAUUGUUAGAUUAACACCUGGGUUUAAUCUGAAUUUCCAGUUAGAGGUUUCUUUAGGGAGAAUGGAUUGAGCUUCUAGAUCAGUAGGUGACCUGGGAUAAAAGGUUUGAUAGCUCUUUGCCAAAAUUAGGCCAGGAUUUGGAGAGUUCCUUGUGGCUCGGACCUGCCCUCUGCAAAUUGCUGUUUCCUCCUCCUUGUCAUGCUCCUGGUCCUGGACAUUAGGAUGGCUGCACCACUGGGCUUCUCUGGGCUGCUCUUCCUGAGUGCAACACAUCAGAGCUACACCUCAUCUGCUGUCCCCAAAUGAUUCUCUUACCUGUAAGCAUGGAUUCCUAUAUUUACUCCCUGUGAGCAAUGACUUCUUUGUGGGGGAAGUUUUGAUUUGAUGCAUCCUAAUCUGGAUGUGGUCUUGACUUAAUGUUCCUGUAGCCUUUUAGUAAAAUCUGCUGAAGAAUUUCAGAAGAAAACUAUAGGAAGUUUGUCAGCACACAGUCCUGAGACUGCUGAUGAACAGCUUGGGUAAAUCACUCCUAAAAUCCUCAUUGACAAGUCAAGAUAAUAAUAAACACAUUGUCUUCACAGUUGUUAAUUCUCUUUCUGGAAGGUGGGGGUUUUGUUGGGAUUUUUGUUUUGUUUGUUGCCUUAUCCUACAUAAGUCUUACUAGCUGUUAAGCAUCUGAAAAUGUUGUUGCCAUGGGAUAGGAGACAGCUUCACACCUGAGGCCACCAGGAACACACUGACCUCUAAUGCAGAGGUGCAGGAGGAAAUGUGUGAAUUCCUGUUAGAUGAAGUGUUAAACUUCAUCAAAUGGACACUCCUGUAGCCUCUUGGAGACAGAAAUAAUCAUUAUGGAAAACAUUUUCCAUCUGAAUUUUCAAGUGGUUGCUCCAGUGGGAUUUAAGCGGUAGGGCCCUGUGAUGGUUCCACCUGAAUUUGCCUGGAAACAUCAGGUAGGUAUUGGUUUCUGAUGUGGACUGUGCAUUUAUGCAUAAUAAUGUUAAAUAUAAUGUGUUCUUAGCCUUGUCAUAUAACCAAGAAUGGAAUUUAGUUAAAAUAAUUCCCAGACUGGGACAAUCAUUUGAGCUAGCACUUCUGUGGCCAGGAGAGAGACUCAGAGAAGGCAAAUCAUGGACUUAGCAGUGUCCUAUAUAUUAAAGGUUUUGUAAAAGAUUGGAGCUAGGGGAACAAAUAAUCCAAGUAAAUGAGUAAAAUUCCUUGUUUUGCUUGUGGGGGGAGGUGGGGGCGGAGAAGAGGAGAGGAGAUAUUGCUUGGCUUGGAUCCAAGAAAGUGUUUAAAAGCAUGUUAAGCUUUAAUGAGGUAAAUAGUCUCAUCUCUGUGGUGCAGAACGUUUAGGCUUAAUUCUAGGCACAUGCUUAAAUUCUUUGCCAAAUUGGGGUCUAAAAAAGAGUUAUGCUUUUGCAUCUGAGAAGCAGGGAUGAUAUCACAUGACUUCUAUAUUUAAUCACAACUACUGAAGGCAGCUGGGAUUUUGAAUACAGAAUACUUAAAGCAAACUGUUCUUGAUCAAUCCAUAGAGAAAUACUCAGAGGGAGAAAAAAUAUAUACAGUAAAUUUGAAUAAUGAACAGUUUUGAGGAAAUUGCAAUCUGCUUGCAGACAUUUGGAGAGCAGAAAAGAAGCUAAAUUUGUUGAGUAAGUUACUUGCUGUGAUCUAUUCUCUUGGCUCUAAUUAGAGAGAAGUGAGCAGUAAGGGAACUCAGAAAAUGAGACUGCUGUGGACUGAAGUGCCCAAAGAGAAGAGUUUAAGUUGGAAGGGUUUUUUUUAAGUGGAUUAUUUUCCCCCAAGUAUUCUUUAAAUAGGAGGGGAAAAUGUAUAAACAAUCAGCUUUGAUGCUUGACAAAUAUGACAGAAAACGUUUGUUUCCUUUGGAAUUCAAAUCUUUAAGUUUACUAUAGGAGUUAACGAUGUUAGUGAACAGCUGACAACUUUGUAAUUUUUUAGUCUUACUGUCCAUUAUGAUAUCACCCAAGUCUCUUCACUGACUACUUCAGAUCAGACUUGCUCAUUAGCAGCAUUUAGGUCACAAUGCAGCAAAUCAUUCUAUCUUUGAAGACCUUCCAUGACUGAUGGCUGCCCUGUGAAAGACUAAAAUAUAACAACUGUCACUAUUGUUUCUCCAAACAAAGCUUCCAGACAUCAGAUGUAAGGUCAUAUCCAGAAACUUUAAAUUUAAACACUUCCCUGAUCAGGCUGCCCCUUGCUUUGCAGCAGGUCCACAGUGACAGUCACUCCACACAACGAAACUCACUCUUUGUAGUAAUAGGAAAACUCGUUUGUGGAGGACAGAACUUUCUCAGGCUGGUGGUGAAACAAAUCCACAGGAAUGCAAGACAAUCACUUCUUAGGUCAUAUUUCUUUUGCCCUAAUUUCUGUAGUACAUAAUAUAGAGUGGCAGAGAUUUUUAUUAAAAACAAAACCAAAACAAAUAACAAAAAUCUAAAACCCCCAAACCAAUCACUCUGCAAAGUAAUUAAGGGAGUAAAUGGAACCUCUUCUCUCUUCUCACCAGUAUUGUGGGAGUUGGAACUAGAUGUUCAUUUAGGUCCCUUCCACUCUAAGAUUCUAUGAUUAGCAACCUACUGAACCCAUGGAAAAUCAGUAUUGGAUCAUUUUGUCAUGUCUCUUGUACUAGGUAGGAGAGAUAGGAGUUCCUACUUUGAAAAUGGGAUGUGCUUUUUGCAUUUCACUUCUUAAAAAGCAAAAAAUAUUUUUACCAUGUUUUUAAUCUUUCCUGUGCACUUGAAGCAUGCAUGGCAGGCUGAGGGCAUUUAACUGUUUCCAUAUCUGCUUUUAAACAUAGCUUCCAUUCCAAAUUUCCACAGUUUGUAGUCUUUCUUUUCAUGACUACUGCCUCACCAUUUGGAAUUCUCACACAGAAAUUCUUCUACGCAAUUCUUUUGGACAUGAUUGCAGUACAUGUGUCUUAGUACUGCAGUUGGGUAAAAAUACAGCUGAAACAGUUUCUUCCCCAUGCAUUUAUAACACAAAAAUCCUCUGCCUGGAAUUCAUAGAGUUCCUUCAGUUUUGUCACAAGCAGAACUGAUGGACUUUAGUUCAACAGUUUGCUGUUAGUCAGCUUCUAGCAGAGGAAGUGGUGACCACUCUAGAUUGAACAGUCUCAGGCAGUGAAUGGCAGCACCUCUUUUCUUCCUACUUUCUCUCUCUACCAAUGACAUCCUUGCUCGUGCCACUCAGAUACAUGUUUUUUCUCCUUGAUUUCAUUCAUUCUAUUGUAGCCUUGCAGUAUUGUUCUCAGGGUACAGCAGCUUGUUGAAAUGUGUUUAUAAUAACAAUUACACCUACUCCAAUCACUAAAGUGUAAUCUUUAUCUUAAUCAAAAAAAAAAAAAAAAAAAGGAAAAAGAAAAGGACAGGCGAGGGCAGAAGAAAAAAAUAUACAUCACAAACUACUCCAAAGUUCUGCUUGACUUAUUUUUCAAUUACAGCAGGUGAAGCAGAAUGAAAUUGUUACAGCCAUUUAUUGAUUGUGUUACUAUCCAUUAAGGUACAACAGAAGAAGUCCAUCAUAUUGUGUAACAACUUAACUAUUUAAAAUAACAAAGGCUUCCUAUUGUUUCCCAUUUUGGCCAUUAUCCUGACAAAUACAUUCCCCUUCCAUGCUGGAAAUCAAAUUCGGGAAUCAUAAUGAAGAAAUUCUGUAUUCAAGGUGACAUUAUUUCUUCUCCUAGCUAUUGAAAUUCUUCAGCUUUUCCACUGAAAAAUAACUGAAGCAGAACAAAGUUGUCAGAUCACUCUUCCCCAGCACUGGUAAUCGUGUGGUGUUGCAGCAAUUGCUAACAUGAAAUAUCCACAGCCUGUUGCUGUAACCACAACUUCUCUCUUUGAACCUACUCACUACGCGUAAGCUUCAAGUUUCUUUUAGCUUCCUUCAAGUAAAUUGGACUUUAGAUUUUGAAUACCCAUUUAAAGACAAAGCAAGGCUGGCAUUCAUGGCUUCCUUGCGUAGUUAUUUCUAUCCUAAAAUCCCUAAUGACCAUUUUGGGAUUUCAAAUCAUUGUAAAGUUUUGUUGCCAAUUCCUGUGUCCUGCCCCACUGUCACUGCGGAUUUGGGCUCUUGCAUCUCUCAGAUGUCUUUUAUUUGACUUGUACAGUAAAUACCUGUCAGACUCCUGAAGUUGUUUCAUCAAACAAACCCCUUGAUCUCCAUAAUUGAUGCUGAAAUGCUCAAUAUGAAUACCAGUUGUGUGUGUCAGUGUGUUUUAGGAUCAGCUGGAGCCGUGUUUUUGUAGGGUAGUGCUCCAGCCCUUGUGCAGUCUGGUCAAGGGUGCACUGGCCAAAAAAGGAGCUGCACAUCAGGACUUGGUUAACAUUCACUGCCCUUUGUGCUUUCAGAUGUCUGGGGUAUUUCCUCUAUGAGCAUAUAAAGAGGUUGAUAAUAAAUAUGAAACACCUUAAAACAUUACCGUGCACAUAAGUUAUUUCUGAAUAUACCUCUAGAGCAGAGGCAAAAAGAGCACCUGUCCAGCCAUCUUUGGGUGUUCCAUAAGUGCAGUGCAGGUGUUCCUGAGUCACCUGGUGGUGAAGAAGUGUGCUUGGAUUUCCUUGUUUCAAUGAACAAGCAGCUACCACAUGACUGUGCUGUGUGGUUGCACGUCAGGGGUUAAUUUUGUUCUCCAAGCACAUUUGGGAGUGUGUUCAGGCAGCACACAAAGUGAAGGCUGGGAAUCAAAGCAAGCAGGCUAUCUCCUCCCACAGAUCUCGCAGCAGAAUUUAGGAGCUGAACGAUGCAACAUGUGCAUAAAAGCUUGAUAAUGUUUUUAAAACAUAUCACUUGAAAUAUGUUAACGCAUAUGUUCCGUCAUUUAGAACUCUUUCAUAAUACAUAAUUUGGCCCUUUAGUUUUACACCCAGCUCAUUAUGGCUCAUGUGCAAAGAGAAACAUUCUCAAAAAUUUCUCCUGGUCUUUCCCCAACACUAGCAUGACCUUUCUUUCCCACCUUGUGCAGUCCCUUUUUUCUCUUGGCAUCUCACUUUCCAGCUCUUUCUGAGCCAUUUCCAGUCUGGUAGCAGUUUAUCCCAUCAGUGUUUCAAGGGAGGCUGAAAGCUUCAGGCUGCCUAAAGGAGGAUUCAGCUUGCUCUUGUUUCAAAAGUUUAAAGGUUUCCCACAGUUCAAAUUUGCCUGAUUGGCUGUCUGUGAAUAAUUGGUUCUUUUGAAGCAUCAGGGUUUUUUUGCUUUUUUUUGUUUUGUUGGGUUUUUUUUUAAUUUAUUUGUAUCAGGAUUAGAUAAACAGGCUAACAGAACUCCAUUGUUACAGGAAUUGUUGUGAAACAGGCAAAUUUCAUGUUUGUUUUACAAAAAGGCUUAAAUUCAGGUAAGAGUUUACAGGCACAUGCACAAGACCUAUGUGUCAUUUUAAUUUCUCAGUCCUGGUAAGAUAAUAAGCCAAUAGGCAGAAUGGCAUUUUCAUUUAGAAACUGCAGAAGAAUCAGAAAAAUUGCACAGAAGUUCCUUGGAUAAGGCAAGGUAAUGCUUUUCCUGACAUAUUUUCAGUUAAAUAAAAUAUGUCCCUUAUACAGGGCUGUAAAUUGGCCUUGAGCACAGCUCCAGGUGGAAUUUCUCCCUCUUCCCAAGGAACACACACUGCAGGCUGCCACCCAGCCCUUCGUGUGGGCACACAUAUUACAAUGCUGAUGUUGUAAAGUUGCCAUUUACUCAGAUGAAUGGAUUCCUCAAAUCAGGCUCUUUCCUGACGUCUGAAUUUCAUACACUUUCGCUCUCAAUAGUUCCCUUUCAAGGUCAAAAGCAAUUUCUGCGCUUCUAGGAAUGUUCUACUUGCAGGGAUUUUUGAUGUUCCUACAGUUCAUGAUUUUUACUAGAAAUUCAUUUGUCUCAGCAGAUAGGGGGUGAUCAGAUGAUGCUGAGCAAUGCCCACAGGGAGCUGCCUCCCUGAUCUGUCUCGUUUUGUGUAAAGCAGGGUAGAAACUUCUGCUUUAAUUGUGACUGACUUCCCUCUGCACAAGGGUCCUGAAGUCUGAGUCAGGGGAUUUUAAAAUACCAGCUGCUGAUCACAGGCAGAAGAGCUGAGGUGCUCAGUUACUCUCUUGAACAUCUGAGAGUUGCCUGUUGUUGUUACCUGGUACAGAAAUAUGAGAAUCCAGGGAAGAGAGAACAAUGGUACCCACCAUGGAAUGAACUGGUAGCAUUGAAAAGCUGAAAACUGGAUUGAAAUAGGAAAGAAGCUUCCACAUGAAACCUUUAUUUUCGUGCGGUUAUCAGUCUGUUUUCAGAGUUUGGGCCUUUCUGGGUUUGCCUUUCAUUUUGUUUCCAAAUCGACAAUAUCGAUGUGUUGUAUUUUUAAACAUUUCUUUACAUUUCCCUUUCCCCACUUUCCUUUCUUGCUCCCCACCUUUAGUUGCUGCAUAUUCUAAGGUAUGUGAACGGCCAGAAAAUGCAAAUGGAACUCAGGAUGGUAAACCUAUCAUUUUUUAGAAGUUUUAUGUUUAAAUAGCUCAAAAAAUCUGCCUCACAGUACCUUCUCUGUUCUGUUUAAAGUAAAAUAAAGAAAACAUCUCAAUUCUUGAAGUAAAUUAAGUCUGUUUUUUUGGUAAGCCAGUAAGCACAUCAGCUUAUUAUUUUUUUUUUCCCACAACAUAUGGGGCUUUCUGUUUAUUGUCUUUCCCUAAUUUUCAAUAUUUUUCUUUGAGCUUUUGUCAGCAAAGGCACACGCUCCCCUCUGCGGUUUGUACUCCUUCAGAAAAGCAGUCGGUGAAUCUGAGUAAUUUCCCCUUGCGAGAACGCGUUCGGUUUGAGAGUUUAGGUGAAUUAUAUUCUGCUGAUUAGCGAGGCAAGUGCUGUGCUCCAUCUGCUAGAGAAUGGAAUGGGAUAUUUAUAACGUGAUGGAUGUUGCUGUUGGGUGGGUGUGCAGGGCUCCGGUGUGACUGAGCCAUUGGCCUGGGCUCUGGGCUGCUCCCUCUGGUUUCUGUCACACAGGGACAGGGAGUGCUUCUGCAAGGACCACAGUUCAUGUAAAACAGCAGCAAAGUCAAGGGACACUACCCUUUUCCAUCAGAAAUUCAGGAAAAGAAAUGAUUUCUCAGUUAUAACAUAACUAUUCAGCGUUAGGUUAUUAUUCUUCUCCCCUCUCAGAGCAAUUAGAGAAUGUGCAUAUGAAAUUUCUUCUGCGCUCAUUGUGCACUGCCUAACAGGAUGUUUCUAUUGUCCUAGUUUGCUCUGAAUUGCACAUCUAUAUUUGUAUAAAUCCUUUAGAUUUCGCACUUUUCCCCACCCCAGGAAUGGGUGGGUGUUUCAGUGCUGCAGAAAUGCUGGGUGCUGCUGUUAUGAAUUCCUUUAUUUCGGUAUGUGGAAUGAGCACUUGGAAACACUGCUGUUCACUGCUUAACACACCUUCCCUCCAAAUAUGACCAGAACAACUACUUCUUAGCUCCCAGAGAUGACACAGUUAAAACUAAGAAGCCUCAAAAAGCCCCCCAAACUCAGAAUUAAUUACAGUGGAAUUGUACACGGAUGUCUUAGUACUGAACCAUGUUGAAAUCUGCUGCUCUUUACAAGUCAAAGGGACGUAUUCUGCUCUGAAGUAAAGGCACUUGUUUUUCUUAAGGUCAUACAAAACAAAGCAUAUUAUUUGAACAAAUGUCAGAAUAAUGUGUGUAAUGAAAUAUACUAUUUACUCGCUUUCAGCAUUUGAACUGUGACAAAUCUGGAAAGGAAAUCAACACUUACUGCUCUGGUUAAAUAGUCCUUUUAAUAUUACAAGUAAGUUUACAUUGCCGGGCUCAUGUGUACUUUAAUGAUUCCUGGAAGUACAAUGACUUGGCCCAGAGGAAAGCAAAAACCUAAUACUUUAUUUUGUGUGAAUUAAAUGCAGCUAAUUAAAGC
This is a non-coding RNA of Taeniopygia guttata (zebra finch), 12081 nucleotides long. The record is from RefSeq and is a predicted model, not a curated record. NCBI's taxonomy places the organism in Eukaryota, Metazoa, Chordata, Aves, Passeriformes, Estrildidae.